This 445-nucleotide ribosomal RNA is filed under the name uncultured bacterium. RNAcentral describes it as "partial 16S ribosomal RNA". It matches the Rfam family "Bacterial small subunit ribosomal RNA", at positions 354 to 796 of the family's 1533-position model. The record is from RNAcentral.
GUAAGGAAUAUUGGUCAAUGGGCGCAAGCCUGAACCAGCCAUGCCGCGUGCAGGAAGACGGCCCUCCGGGUUGUAAACUGCUUUUGUACGGGAAUAAACCUCGCUACGUGUAGCGAGCUGAAUGUACCGUAAGAAUAAGGAUCGGCUAACUCCGUGCCAGCAGCCGCGGUAAUACGGAGGAUCCAAGCGUUAUCCGGAUUUAUUGGGUUUAAAGGGUGCGUAGGCGGCCUGUUAAGUAAGGGGUGAAAGACGGUGGCUCAACCAUCGCAGUGCCCUUGAUACUGAUGGGCUGGAAUAGACUAGAGGUAGGCGGAAUGUGACAAGUAGCGGUGAAAUGCAUAGAUAUGUCACAGAACACCGAUUGCGAAGGCAGCUUACUAUGGUCUGAUUGACGCUGAGGCACGAAAGCGUGGGGAUCGAACAGGAUUAGAAACCCGUGUAGUCC